Long non-coding RNA from Penaeus monodon (black tiger shrimp), 282 nucleotides. RefSeq lists it as uncharacterized. NCBI's taxonomy places the organism in Eukaryota, Metazoa, Arthropoda, Malacostraca, Decapoda, Penaeidae. The transcript is spliced from 3 exons. The record is from RefSeq and is a predicted model, not a curated record.
CAAGAAGCUAGAGUUCAGCUAGAUUGAAGGAAGAAGCCAUGCAGCAUCCAGUCUCUUCACAAGCACUAGACUAAGGUGCGAAGCUGAGGAAGGAGAGCCUCAAGCAGAACGAGACCCACUGAAAGACCGUUCUAAAAUAGUCCCUGUGGAGACCAGCAUGAAAUACCUGAAAAGUGAUGCUUACAAGACUACCUACGGCACAGACCCAGUAUGGAAGAGAUAUCGCAGAAAUUUUAAGGGAGCCUUUGCACCUCGCCAUACCAGGAAAACAUGCAUAGUAAG